RNAcentral lists this long non-coding RNA (2211 nucleotides) under Mus spicilegus (steppe mouse). RNAcentral's name for it is "lncRNA (ENSMSIG00000001670.1)". Lineage: Eukaryota; Metazoa; Chordata; Mammalia; Rodentia; Muridae. The record is from RNAcentral.
GUGCUAUUAGAAGCAAUGACUACCGUCUUUCUGUUUGUUUGUUUGUAUGUAUAUUUGUUUGUUUAAAGAUCUCAUUUUACUUUAUGUGUAUGUGUGGUUUUGCUUGCAUGCCUAGGUGUACUGUAUGUGUGCUUGGAGCCCAAGGAAGUCAGAAGAGGGGGUUGGAACUAGAAAUGAAGUUACAGAUGGUUAUGUACCACCAUGUUGGUACAGGGAAUUGAACCCAGGGCCUCUGCAGAAGCAACAGUGCUCUUAACCUCUGAGCCAUUUCUAAUCUCCCUAUAGCUACUGUCUUUUUAAAAAUUGAUUUAAUAAAGGUUUUUUAUUUUAUUUUGUUUUGGAUUUUUAAGUCAGGGUUUCUCUGUGUAACAGCCCUGGCAGACCUGGUCCUCACUUUGUAGACCAGGCUGGCCUUGAGUUCAUAGAGAUCCACCUGUCUCUGCCUCCCAAGUGCUAGGAUUAAAGGCAUGUACCACCAUGCCUGGUUUAAUUAAGUUAUUUUUUCCAUGCACUUAUUUAUUGUGAGGGCCGGGUACUUGCCAAUGCAUCUGUGUGGCAGCCAGAGGACAGUCUACGGGCCCGAUCAUGGGGACCUGAUGAUGAUCGCCAGGCGUGGUGGCCAGCAUCUUUCCCUUCUGAACCUCCUCGGCUGCCCCAGUUAUUGCCUUUUAAAAAUAGCUUAUUUGACACAGGAUCUCACAUAGCUGAGGUUGACCUUGAACUUCUAGUCCUACUGUCCCAUGUGCUGGGAUUACAAGCAUCACCAAGGCCAUUUUUUUUUUUUAUGGUGCUGGGGAUCAAACCCUGGAUUUCAUGUAUGCUGGGUAAACACUCUACCAGCUGAGCUAAUUCACAUUCCUAACUAUUCUCUUAUUUAUCUAUUGCUCUGUAGCCAUACUAGAUAUUGCUGUUCUGUCCAGAGAAUGAGCAAGUUUAUCAAGCAGCAAGCAAGAGUAAAAGGACACCACGUAUCAGAGUCAGCAAAGCAUCAUCAAGCCGGAUGCAUACAGCAUCCAACAGAAAUCAGCCAGAAGCCCUGGGCUGCGUGGGCUCCUUACAGAGACGUCAGGCUGAGGAGCUCGAAAUGAAAUCGCUAAAAGAAAAGAAAAAAUUACCAGAAGACACCAAGAUGGCCUGUUGCUAUGGAGAAUGAAUGCCUCCAGCUGUGAACCCAACCAGGAGGCCGCAGCGGGGGCUGGUCACACUUACCUUCAGGAGCAUCCCAGCUUCACCAAGGAGAGGGUGCAUUGGAAGGAAGGGCAGCAUACGGAGGGGAUUGAUCUGGUUGCCAGCUCAUACAGAUGCUAGCAGAGUGGUUCUAACUCAGGGAGCAAAGGGGAGAGCUGGGCUGGGGUGGGGGAGGGGGGCACUUAGCUUCCCAAAGCCACGGGUUUCCUAGGCUGCUCUGGAGAGAAGUGGGUGGAAUAUUUCGGAGCAGGUUGGAGUGAGACCAUGUACACUCAUGUCUCCUCCCAGCCAUUUCGUAUGUCAACUGGGGUUUAUUACAUGCCAGACAUUGUGCUGGGGCAGUGGAUCUUUGAGAGACCUGACUGAAAUAGGGUUGAAAUUACACACCGCUGGAAAUCCAUCCCCUCUCUGUAGAACGGCAACUCUAUAAUGUGACUCCAGGUCUGUGUGUCAACAGUGGUACCCACAUGGCCUGUGCCACAUACUUAGAUGCGGGUGGUAACAGGAAAAUUGUGAAGAAGAGUGUCAAAAGCAUGUAUAUUUCUCUCUGCCUGAAUGUGUGUGUGUGUGUGUGUGUGUGUGUGUGUGUGUGUGAGAGAGAGAGAGAGAGAGAGAGAGAGAGAGAGAGAGAGAGAGAGAGAGNNNNNNNNNNGUAUAUCCUCAGAAGCCAUUCACCUUGAGGGUUUUGGGUUGGGUUGGGUUGGUUUGGUUGGUUGGCUGAUUUUGGUUUGUUUGUUUGUUCGUUUGAGACAGAUUUUCUCCAAGUAGGCUAGGCUGGCUGACCUCAGGACUUUACCUGUGCCGGCCUCCCACUGCUGGCAUCAUCAGCAUGUGCCGGCUUGGCUGACCUUUUCACCUGGUUGCUGGGGAUUAAAUUCAGGUCCUCAUGCUAAAGCAAGCUCUUAGUAAUAAGCUAUCUUCACAGUGCCUCUGUGCCUUUCCCUGCUGCUAGUGGCUCUCAUCAACUUUGCUUUUAUGCUUCUGACAGAGUAAUAAACUCAGUGCUCCAAGGUAUGCUAAUCA